Molecule: ribosomal RNA, 502 nt
Filed under: uncultured bacterium
Lineage: Bacteria
Description: bacterial SSU rRNA
Rfam family: Bacterial small subunit ribosomal RNA
Source: RNAcentral
GACGAACGCUGGCGGCGUGCCUAAUACAUGCAAGUCGAACGCACUCUCGUUAGAUUGAAGAAGCUUGCUUCUGAUUGAUAACAUUUGAGUGAGUGGCGGACGGGUGAGUAACACGUGGGUAACCUGCCCUAAAGUGGGGGAUAACAUUUGGAAACAGAUGCUAAUACCGCAUAAAACCUAGCACCGCAUGGUGCAAGGUUGAAAGAUGGUUUCGGCUAUCACUUUAGGAUGGACCCGCGGUGCAUUAGUUAGUUGGUGAGGUAAAGGCUCACCAAGACCGUGAUGCAUAGCCGACCUGAGAGGGUAAUCGGCCACACUGGGACUGAGACACGGCCCAGACUCCUACGGGAGGCAGCAGUAGGGAAUCUUCCACAAUGGACGAAAGUCUGAUGGAGCAACGCCGCGUGAGUGAAGAAGGUUUCGGAUCGUAAAACUCUGUUGUUGGAGAAGAACGUAUUUGAUAGUAACUGAUCAGGUAGUGACGGUAUCCAACCAGAAAGCC